Molecule: long non-coding RNA, 822 nt
Organism: Anthonomus grandis grandis
Lineage: Eukaryota; Metazoa; Arthropoda; Insecta; Coleoptera; Curculionidae
Exons: 2
Source: RefSeq, a predicted model, not a curated record
CCAAAGUGUUGAUUUUUUAACGUUUUAAAAAGCAAAAGUAACGUGUAAAAUGAUGAGUGAUGAUGACUGUUCCAUUUCUGAAACCCUCCCAGAACUCACGGAGGCAGUGAAUGCUGCAUCAUUGGAAUUGUUACCAAUAAAAUCUAGAAAUAAGUAUAACUAUGCAUACAACCGCUUCAUGGACUACCGUACAAAUAAAAAUGUAACUUCUUUCUCGGAAAAUGUUGUAAUGGCAUACUUCUUGGAGCUUGGUUCCAAGAUGAAUUCUUCAACUUUAUGGGCCAAUUGUUCAAUGCUGAAGGCAACCCUUGCAAUUAGACAUGAUGUGGAUAUAUCUGAAUAUUCAAAACUUCGGGCAUUCCUGAAACAACAAGCACAUGCCUAUAAGCCAAAAAAAUCCAAGAUUUUAACUAAAGAAGAAAUAAACAAAUUUAUUCAGGAAGCUCCAGAUAAGGAAUAUUUAAUGAUUAAGGUAGCUGUAAUAUUUGGAAUUUCCGGAGCUUGCAGAAUGGACGAGCUGGUUAAAAUGACUGUACAAGAUAUACAAGACCUCCUAUCUAAACUUUUAGUUACCAUACCGGAUUCAAAAACCAAUACAUCAAGAUCAUUUAUAGUAAUAGUUAUUGUCAUACAAAUAAAAUUAUUAGUUUGGAAAAUAUUCAACAAAACAAUGCUAUUAGUUCCCAAGUUCUUCCAGUUUUCAAUACUUGUACUAAUUGUCAAAUAACAGUAAAUAUAACAAAUAAUAAGUAAUAAUUUUAAAAUAUAAUGUUAACCUUGUUUGUGCUGAAAGUUUUAAAAAUAAAAUUGUUUAGGAAAAAG